UUUGUGCUCGUAGUGUUUGGAUGCAGAAAAGAAAAUACCUGUAAUUUCAUGGUUUCAAGAGGAUAAAAAACGGAAUAUCUAUUCCUAAAAAAUGUAUAGCGUCGUUGAAUUUAGUGAGGAUGACAGCGUCGCUAUUGUGCGCUCGUCUUGGAUUUCACCCACUAAGAAACAUAGUGCUUGGCCUCCAUUUAAAAAUUCCGAAAAGAUCAAGAAAUGUCUUACGGGCACAAUUUUAGAUGAUGACACGUGGAAUGUUUUUGGAAUUCGACGCAUUUUUUAUGUAACUGAUGACCUUCUCAGUGCUAGAAAGAAAUGUAAAGAAGCCGAACUUAAUUCCGAAGUAGAACUAGACAUUAAGCUAAAAAGAAAACACAAAAUAACUACAAGAUAUCUGUCAGUAUCCAGUGAAGAAGAAGAUGAUGGCCAUUGAAUGAAUUUUCCAAAACCAC
Molecule: long non-coding RNA, 449 nt
Organism: Aricia agestis (brown argus)
Lineage: Eukaryota; Metazoa; Arthropoda; Insecta; Lepidoptera; Lycaenidae
Exons: 3
Source: RefSeq, a predicted model, not a curated record